This 253-nucleotide ribosomal RNA is filed under the name uncultured bacterium. RNAcentral describes it as "partial 16S ribosomal RNA". It matches the Rfam family "Bacterial small subunit ribosomal RNA", at positions 524 to 776 of the family's 1533-position model. The record is from RNAcentral.
GACGUAGGGCGCGAGCGUUGUCCGGAAUUAUUGGGCGUAAAGGGCUCGUAGGCGGUCUGUCACGUCGAAAGUGAAAACUCAGGGCUUAACCCUGAGCCUGCUUCCGAUACGGGCAGACUAGAGGUAUGCAGGGGAGAAUGGAAUUCCUGGUGUAGCGGUGAAAUGCGCAGAUAUCAGGAGGAACACCAGUGGCGAAGGCGGUUCUCUGGGCAUUACCUGACGCUGAGGAGCGAAAGUGUGGGGAGCGAACAGG